CACGUAGGGCGCGAGCGUUGUCCGGAAUUAUUGGGCGUAAAGAGCUCGUAGGCGGCCUGUUGCGUCCGCUGUGAAAUCCCGGGGCUCAACCCCGGGCGUGCAGUGGAUACGGGCUGGCUGGAGGCAGGCAGGGGAGAACGGAAUUCCUGGUGUAGCGGUGAAAUGCGCAGAUAUCAGGAGGAACACCGGUGGCGAAGGCGGUUCUCUGGGCCUGUACUGACGCUGAGGAGCGAAAGCGUGGGGAGCGAACAGG
This 253-nucleotide ribosomal RNA is filed under the name uncultured bacterium. RNAcentral's name for it is "partial 16S ribosomal RNA". It matches the Rfam family "Bacterial small subunit ribosomal RNA", at positions 524 to 776 of the family's 1533-position model. The record is from RNAcentral.